GUCAAUGACAUUUUCUUUUGUAAUGAGAUUAUUGGACACCUGGGUCUUUUGGAACUUCCUCUGAAAGGAAGAUGUUUUACUUGGUCCAACAUGCAGGAAAAUCCACUGUUGGAACAGUUAGAUUGGUUCUACACAACAUCUGACUAGAUUUCUUACUAUCCGAAUACAUUGGUUCUUCCUCUUGCCAAAACUUCCUCUGAUCAUGUCCCAUAUGUUGUUUCCAUUGACACAACCAUCCUGCAGCCCGAGUCUUUCAUUUUAAGAAUUUUUGGGCUGAUAUGCCUGGCUUUUUUGAGUGUGUCAGGUAGUCCUAGGAGGCAUCUAUUCAUGCAGACUUGA
RNAcentral lists this ribosomal RNA (339 nucleotides) under Triticum aestivum (bread wheat). RNAcentral describes it as "partial small subunit ribosomal RNA". Lineage: Eukaryota; Viridiplantae; Streptophyta; Magnoliopsida; Poales; Poaceae. The record is from RNAcentral.